GACGAACGCUGGCGGCGUGCCUAAUACAUGCAAGUCGAACGAACAGCGACUUGAACUUGUUCAAGUCAAUGUUAGUGGCGCACGGGUGAGUAACACGUGGAGAACCUACCCUUAAGCGGGGGAUAACCAUUGGAAACGAUGACUAAUACCGCAUAGAAUCACAGAUCAUAUGAUCAAUGAAGGAAAGACGGCUUCGGCUGUCACUUAAGGAUGGCUCCGCGGUGCAUUAGCUAGAUGGUGGGGUAAAGGCCUACCAUGGCAAUGAUGCAUAGCCGACCUGAGAGGGUGAUCGGCCACAUUGGGACUGAGGCACGGCCCAAACUCCUACGGGAGGCAGCAGUAGGGAAUCUUCCGCAAUGGGCGCAAGUCUGACGGAGAAACGCCGAGUGUGUGAAGAAGGUCUUCGGAUCGUAAAGCACUGUUGUUAGAGAAGAACGACCUGUAGAGUAACUGUUAGCGGAGUGACGGUAACUAACCAGAAAGGCACGGCUAACUACGUG
RNAcentral lists this ribosomal RNA (500 nucleotides) under uncultured bacterium. RNAcentral's name for it is "partial 16S ribosomal RNA". It matches the Rfam family "Bacterial small subunit ribosomal RNA", at positions 28 to 507 of the family's 1533-position model. The record is from RNAcentral.